Molecule: ribosomal RNA, 522 nt
Filed under: uncultured bacterium
Lineage: Bacteria
Description: partial 16S ribosomal RNA
Rfam family: Bacterial small subunit ribosomal RNA
Source: RNAcentral
UGGGGAAUCUUGCGCAAUGGGCGAAAGCCUGACGCAGCCAUGCCGCGUGAAUGAUGAAGGUCUUAGGAUUGUAAAAUUCUUUCACCGGGGACGAUAAUGACGGUACCCGGAGAAGAAGCCCCGGCUAACUUCGUGCCAGCAGCCGCGGUAAUACGAAGGGGGCUAGCGUUGCUCGGAAUUACUGGGCGUAAAGGGCGCGUAGGCGGACAUUUAAGUCAGGGGUGAAAUCCCAGAGCUCAACUCUGGAACUGCCUUUGAUACUGGAUGUCUUGAGUAUGAGAGAGGUAUGUGGAACUCCGAGUGUAGAGGUGAAAUUCGUAGAUAUUCGGAAGAACACCAGUGGCGAAGGCGACAUACUGGCUCAUUACUGACGCUGAGGCGCGAAAGCGUGGGGAGCAAACAGGAUUAGAUACCCUGGCAGUCCACGCCGUAAACGAUGAUUGCUAGUUGUCGGGAUGCAUGCAUCUCGGUGACGCAGCUAACGCAUUAAGCAAUCCGCCUGGGGAGUACGGUCGCAAGAUU